This 771-nucleotide long non-coding RNA is filed under the name Rosa chinensis. RNAcentral's name for it is "sRNA RchiOBHm_Chr5g0019911". Lineage: Eukaryota; Viridiplantae; Streptophyta; Magnoliopsida; Rosales; Rosaceae. The record is from RNAcentral.
GGCUUAAUACCCUAAUACAUUAGGGCCCAACUUGCCUCGACCUGAGCCCGUAGGCCCAAACCCAACUCAAAUCUUACCUAACAAGAAGGGUUUUCUGCCACAUGAGCGCAGGGUGUAGCCCAGGCCCACAGAGAUGAACCCACAUAUCUGAGCCCAACAACCCAAGCUUGAGCCCAGGCUCAAAAGCCCAAGCCCAAAUUCAAGUCAUUAGGGCAGAAUCCUCAGGCCACUGCUGCCAUACUGCCUCCGCCGCCGUUAGGCCAUCCGGAGGCCAACCUAUCCGCCACUACAUCAGAGCUAUAAUAAACAACCACCAGCGGCCUAUCAACCCCCUUGUGCUACUUCCUACACCAUUGAUUGCGAGCUUCAAACGUCGAUCAGACGGCUAGACGAUGAUCCCGACUACCUCAACCUCUACAACUCUCGCACGAGAUCUGGUACCCUGUGAUGUCUACGACCCCCGAUGAAAAGCUCCGCCGAUGCUAAAACAGAUGGCAACUGGAAGGAGAUUCCGCCGCCAUGCUAGGCUCAAGCCGACUUCGCAGCCUCCAAGAUCUACUUCGUCACCAGGUAGACCCGAUUCAAGCCUCUGCCAAACUACACCACGACGAGAACUCACCGAAUCUAGAAUGGCGGCGCCACGUUCUGCUCAAAACCCUAGAGAAUGGGUUCUGUUAGAGAGGAGAGAUCACCGUAUAAAAGAAAUAUAUACUUGGUUGUAUAAUUGAUUAGCUCUUUGCAUUAAUAUUUUGGCAUAUUAAUUAGAAUACC